CGAAACGAGACCUUAACCUGCUAAAUAGCCAGGCCGGCUUUGGCUGGUCGCUGAGCUUCUUAGAGGGACUGUCAGCGUCCAGCUGACGGAAGUUUGAGGCAAUAACAGGUCUGUGAUGCCCUUAGAUGUUCUGGGCCGCACGCGCGCUACACUGACAGAGCCAGCGAGUUUUUCACCUUGACCGGAAGGUCUGGGCAAUCUUGUGAAACUCUGUCGUGCUGGGGAUAGGGCAUUGCAAUG
Molecule: ribosomal RNA, 240 nt
Filed under: uncultured fungus
Lineage: Eukaryota; Fungi
Description: partial small subunit ribosomal RNA
Rfam family: Eukaryotic small subunit ribosomal RNA
Source: RNAcentral